RNAcentral lists this ribosomal RNA (406 nucleotides) under uncultured bacterium. RNAcentral's name for it is "partial 16S ribosomal RNA". It matches the Rfam family "Bacterial small subunit ribosomal RNA", at positions 29 to 526 of the family's 1533-position model. The record is from RNAcentral.
AUUGAACGCUGGCGGCAGGCUUAACACAUGCAAGUCGAGCGAGCGGCGGACGGGUGAGUAAUGUCUGGGAAACUGCCUGAUGGAGGGGGAUAACUACUGGAAACGGUAGCUAAUACCGCAUACCAUCAGAUGUGCCCAGAUGGGAUUAGCUAGUAGGUGGGGUAAUGGCUCACCUAGGCGACGAUCCCUAGCUGGUCUGCGAGGAUGACCAGCCAAACGGGAACGGGGACACGGUCCAGACGCCGACGGGGGGCAGAAGUGGGGAAUAUUGCACAAUGGGCGCAAGCCUGAUGCAGCCAUGCCGCGUGUGGGAAGAAGGCCUUCGGGUUGUAAAGCAAUUUCAGCGAGGAGGCGGUACUCGCAGAAGAAGCACCGGCUAACUCCGUGCCAGCAGCCGCGGUAAUUC